GGGUAAGUCCCUAGGAUAAAUAAAUUAGGUUAUAUUUUUUAAAAAUUAAAGGCUAAACAUAGUCAACUGUAGAAGAUCGUCACUUACAAAGAAUGUUAUCACACAUUCUUUGGCCUGGGAAUGGGCAUGUUAGGCUUUCAGUUCUGUGUUGAGAAAUCUUUGACAACUUCAAUAAUGUCUGUGUUCACUGGUAGAAGAAUAAUGGAAGAAAGCAGUUAACUCCACCUCCAAGACACCUACUGAGAGAUCUGGAAAAUGGAAAGCUUAGGUCUGUGUAGGACUUAAGUCUGUGAGGUACAGUGAAAAGCAACAACAACAGCCACAACAAAAACUACAGAUUUCUUACAGCUCUGUCACCUGUCUCAGGUUAUCUUCGUCCCUACACUGCUGGAGGCUGGGAUGGUCAGGCUCUUCCUUCACGUGACCAGUGACUCUCGCUGCUGGUGCCUGCUGCUGAGGCCUAUGAACCUGCCUGUGAACGGGGUGAAGUGAGGAAGGAGCAAGUCUAGUGCUCUGGAAGGAAUGGAGGGCAUGGCAGUUAAUCAUGUCACCAGUCAGAACAAAACAAACACAUAACUCCUCAGCUUCCUCUGGAGGGGAGUUCAGUGUCACAAUCAACUUCGUGUUUCCUGAUUUUGGCAGACCCUGAAACCAGGACGGCUCUAUAUUGUGUUUAUUUCUAUCUAUUAUGUUACAGUUGUCUCCUGCAGAAAACAAUGAAUACUGAAGGCCACAUGUCAUCUCUGUGCACUUCUGAAACAGAAAUGGACCAGCUCUUCUGGAAUGCUUUUCUGUCUGCAGAAGCACCUCUUGUAAACGUCUCCUAAGAGCUUUUAUCUAAUCAGAGGCUUAUUUCCCAGAGAUUCCAAGUGUGCAUAGAACAUGGGUUGUAGGCAGAGGAACCCAGAGAGAGUAAAAUAAGAAAUUGUUUUUUAAUGACACCAAAGCUUUGACUGAAGAACCACAUGGUCUUUAAAAUAGAUAAAUGAGUUUUUGUUUUAUUGGAGAGAUGGCUUGUUUAAUAACAGCAAGUGGAUAUGACAGAUAAAUAAAGCACAUGGUUGAAUAUUUCAGGUUUUAGUUCCCUUAUUUAUCCACCUAUCAGAAGAUAUUGCUUGAAUCAGAGAAUAUUGCUUGAAUCUCUGCUGUCUGCUAGUCAGGCUAAAUGUGAGAUAGAAUUGAGUGUCAAAAAACAGCUAUCAAACAUAAUUUUGUGUUUUGCAGCUCUUCACUGAGAUUUCAAAAAAUUUUUAGUGUGCAUGCUGCUGAAGUGAGCACAUAAAAAAUUUUAAAUAUAUGUAUUAUUUAUUAUACUUAAUCGUCACUGGAAAAAAUAAAAAUAGAGAAUCAUGUAAAGUAAAAAAGUAAAAUUACCUCUUCCCUAUUUUCCAUGGAGUUAGACUCUAUGGAAUUUGAAGAAUAUUUGAAGAAUAUUCCCUGGUCUCAAUACAUUUUCUAUGUAAUUAUAACACAGUGGACCCUAGAGUUACUACUGGCCUGACAGGAACAACUUGGGUUACAACUGGAGUUUUAGUUUUAACUUACAACCAAAGUCUUGAGUUAUGACCAGACUGCUGGCCAUUUGUGCUUCCAGAUGUUCUCAGAUAAAGAUUUUACCCUUAAAGAGUUUUAGAAGGAACAUUACAACAUCCUUUUCUGUGUGGGAUUGAGAAAUCCUGGGCCAAUGUCUCUCUAAGAACACUGAGAUCUACCUGUAUACAGGUGAGACACAGAAAGCUGUGUCUAGGUGCCUGACCAACUUGAGUUACAACCAGCCUUCUAGAAUGAAUUGAGUUCAUAAGUGAAGGGUCCACUACAUUUCAGAAUAUUUUACACAAGUGGAAUCAUACAAAAUUUUCUGGAAGAUUUUUCACUUACCAGUGUUUUGUAGAAUUUCUGUACUAGCACAUUGUGAUUUUCCUUACUAUUUUGGGGCUAGCGUAACAUGUUAUUAUGUGAAUUACUGAAAUUUAUUAAACUUGUUGUCCAUUGAAG
This 1995-nucleotide long non-coding RNA is filed under the name Heterocephalus glaber (naked mole-rat). Its description in RNAcentral is "lncRNA (ENSHGLG00000049976.1)". Lineage: Eukaryota; Metazoa; Chordata; Mammalia; Rodentia; Bathyergidae. The record is from RNAcentral.